Molecule: ribosomal RNA, 476 nt
Filed under: uncultured bacterium
Lineage: Bacteria
Description: bacterial SSU rRNA
Rfam family: Bacterial small subunit ribosomal RNA
Source: RNAcentral
AAUGAACGUUGGCGGCGUGGAUUAGGCAUGCAAGUCGAGCGAGAAGUUUUAAAAGAUACCUCGGUUGAUUUUAAAAUGGACAGCGGCGAAAGGGAGAGUAACGAGUAGAUACGUACCCAAGGGUCCGGAAUAGCAGGGGGAAACCGCUGGUAAUGCCGGAUAAUGUUUCCGAACCAAAGAUUUAUUGCCCUCGGAUCGGUCUGCUUACUAUUAGCUUGUUGGUGGGGUAAUGGCCUACCAAGGCUCAGAUGGUUAGCGGGUGUGAGAGCAUGGCCCGUCUCACUGGGACUGAGACACUGCCCAGACACCUACGGGUGGCUGCAGUCGAGAAUCUUCCGCAAUGGACGAAAGUCUGACGGAGCGACGCCGCGUGCGGGAUGAAGGCCCUCGGGUUGUAAACCGCUGUCAUAGGGGAGGAAAUUUUGACCGAUCCUAAGAGGAAGCACAGGCUAAGUUCGUGCCAGCCGCCGCGGUAA